CUGCUGCCUCCCGUAGGAGUUUGGGCCGUGUCUCAGUCCCAAUGUGGCCGUCCACCCUCUCAGGCCGGCUACUGAUCGUCGCCUUGGUGGGCCGUUACCCCGCCGACAAGCUAAUCAGACGCGGGUCCAUCUUACACCACCGGAGUUUUUCACACAAAUCCAUGCGGCUUCGUGCGCUUAUGCGGUAUUAGCACCUAUUUCUAAGUGUUAUCCCCCAGUGUAAGGCAGGUUACCCACGCGUUACUCACCCGUCCGCCACUAAGAUUUUA
Molecule: ribosomal RNA, 269 nt
Filed under: uncultured bacterium
Lineage: Bacteria
Description: partial 16S ribosomal RNA
Source: RNAcentral